This 116-nucleotide transfer RNA is filed under the name Genista cilentina. Its description in RNAcentral is "transfer RNA-Lys". Lineage: Eukaryota; Viridiplantae; Streptophyta; Magnoliopsida; Fabales; Fabaceae. The record is from RNAcentral.
CAGGUAAACUUCUCAACGGACUCUUUCUCCCCGCUUUUUCCAUCUAAUCGUGUUCUAGGAUAACAAGCCGGUUAGAAUCCUUUAUUUUCUCAGCCCAAUCGCUCUUUUGACUUCGG